This 104-nucleotide small nuclear RNA is filed under the name Physeter macrocephalus (sperm whale). The record is from RNAcentral. Lineage: Eukaryota; Metazoa; Chordata; Mammalia; Artiodactyla; Physeteridae.
GUGCUUGCUUCGGCAGCACAUAUACUAAAAUUGGAACGAUACAGAAAUUAGCAUGGCCCCUGCGCAAGGAUGACACGCAAAUUCGUGAAGUGUUCCAUAUUUUU